GAUGAAGAACGUAGCGAAAUGCGAUAAGUAAUGUGAAUUGCAGAAUUCAGUGAAUCAUCGAAUCUUUGAACGCACAUUGCGCCCCUUGGUAUUCCGAGGGGCAUGCCUGUUCGAGCGUCAUAUUUACCACUCCCGCUUGCGGGGUCUUGGGCUUCGCCUCCGGGCGGGCCUUAAAAUCAGUGGCGGUGCCGUCGGGCUCUACGCGUAGUAAAUUUUCUCGCGAUAGGGUCCCGGUGGAUGCUUGCCAACAACCCCCAACUUCUUAAGGUUGACCUCGGAUCAGGUAGGGAUACCCGCUGAACUUAAGCAUAUCAAUAAGCGGAGGA
Molecule: unclassified non-coding RNA, 326 nt
Filed under: soil metagenome
Description: partial contains 5.8S ribosomal RNA, internal transcribed spacer 2, and large subunit ribosomal RNA
Rfam family: 5.8S ribosomal RNA (bases 1-120)
Source: RNAcentral